GUUUUAAAGCCAGAUAUCCCGUGAACCUAUCCUGAAUUUCAAGAAUUAACAAUAACUGAAUUUUUACAAUAACUGAAUUUUAUCAGUGAAUGGUUACGAAUGCUCGCAAAUAGAAGAAAGAAGACAUCAUGCUCCAUAUUGCCAAUUUGCAGGCCCUAGUGCAUGAGAAUAUAGUUACAGAAAUACCGCACUAAAUGGCUAAUUAAUCACAGGUUAACAAAUUCAGAGAUUCUCCCCUAAAUGUUUCUUUGCAAAAAAUUACAUACCAGGCAGAAAAUGUUUCCGAGCUAGUUAUGCAUUUA
Pelobates cultripes (western spadefoot toad) is the source of this 302-nucleotide non-coding RNA. The record is from the annotation of a GenBank genome assembly. Lineage: Eukaryota; Metazoa; Chordata; Amphibia; Anura; Pelobatidae.